UGGCAGCCGGCCUCCUGCAUGGCCUUCUCCACCGUCUCCUUCUCCAAGUGGAGCGCAAAGAACUUCUUGGCGCCUACCAUGUAGCUCUGGCAGCGGAGGGCUAUGGCCGUGACCAGGUGCCCGCCCGGCUUCAGCAGGCUGACCAAGCUCCGGAUCGCUGCCCGGUAGGCGUCCGCAUCAGGACAGGCACUCUCCAGGGCCAGCAGGGUCAGCACGCAGUCAGCUGGUGGCACCUGGGCUGGUGCCAGGGGGUGUGGCUGGG
This is a non-coding RNA of Vicugna pacos (alpaca), 262 nucleotides long. The record is from RefSeq and is a predicted model, not a curated record. NCBI's taxonomy places the organism in Eukaryota, Metazoa, Chordata, Mammalia, Artiodactyla, Camelidae.